CUACGGGAGGCACCAGUGAGGAAUAUUGCACAAUGGGGGGAACCCUGAUGCAGCAACGCCGCGUGGAGGAUGACGCAUUUCGGUGUGUAAACUCCUUUUAUAUGUCAAGAAAAUGACGGUAGCAUAUGAAUAAGCACCGGCUAACUCCGUGCCAGCAGCCGCGGUAAUACGGAGGGUGCAAGCGUUACUCGGAAUCACUGGGCGUAAAGGGCGCGUAGGCGGGUUGGUAAGUCAGGUGUGAAAUCCUACGGCUUAACUGUAGAACUGCACUUGAAACUUCUAAUCUAGAGUAUGGGAGGGGGAGAUGGAAUUAGUGGUGUAGGGGUAAAAUCCGUAGAUAUCACUAGGAAUACCUAAAGCGAAGGCGAUCUCCUGGAACAUUACUGACGCUAAGGCGUGAAAGCGUGGGGAGCAAACAGGAUUAGAUACCCCCGUAGUC
RNAcentral lists this ribosomal RNA (439 nucleotides) under uncultured bacterium. Its description in RNAcentral is "partial 16S ribosomal RNA". It matches the Rfam family "Bacterial small subunit ribosomal RNA", at positions 339 to 795 of the family's 1533-position model. The record is from RNAcentral.